This is a long non-coding RNA of Salvelinus fontinalis (brook trout), 2687 nucleotides long. RefSeq lists it as uncharacterized. The transcript has 2 exons. NCBI's taxonomy places the organism in Eukaryota, Metazoa, Chordata, Actinopteri, Salmoniformes, Salmonidae. The record is from RefSeq and is a predicted model, not a curated record.
AAACAUGCCACACAAAAGCCAAAGUAAGCUACACAUUUUACAUGUGGCUUCCAUAUACAUAAUACGAAGAUCAACUGAUAAAUGAUGACAUACAUUGGAAGCAUGACUUCAUGCCUUUUGUUAUUUCUGUUGAUUAUGUGUGGUUCAGUUUGCCAUGGUGGGAAGUUGCUGGUCUUUCCCGGGGAGGGAAGUCACUGGGUUAAGAUGGACAUUCUGAUCAAGGCUCUUCGCUCUCAGGGACACACCAUCACAGUGGUACGAACGACAAAAAGUUGGUACAUCAAAGAAGAAUAGCCCUACUACAGUUCUAUUACAAUACCUGUCACUGAUGCUAUGGAUGAGGAAUUUGUAAAGCCAAUCAUAAAGAAAGUAAUUGAUAUAGAGAGAGGAACAACCUCUGUAUUAAACUUUAUACAUUUGCAAAUGGUGCAUUAAAACUAAAAGCAGAUUUACCUAGCUUUGGAGACCCUAGGAACCUCAACAGUAAACCAAUCCUGUGAACGGGUUAGGCAACUCAGGUGUGUGUACUUCAACAGCAAAGUUAGAUAAGACGGAAGUUUAUGAAGUAGGGCCUUGUAAACAGAGUAAUGUAGAGAUCUACGGGUCUUAAGUUAUGUUCAGCCAACCUUUUGAUACAGGAUACUGGCACAUUACCCAAAAAGUUACAUAUUGCAGCUCGAUUUUUCACGCUCAACAGUUUGUAUCAAGAAUACCCUUCCCCAGAUCUGUGCCGCGACACAAUCCUGUCUCUGCGCUUUACAGACAAUUCCUUCGACCUCAUGGCUUGGUUUUUGCUCUGACAUGCACUGUCAACUGUGGGACCUUAUACAGGCAGGUGUGUGCCUUUCCAAAUCAUGUACUAUCAAUUGAGUUUACCACAGGUUGACUCCAAUUAACUUGUAGAAACAACUCACUCAAGGAGGAUGAAUGGAAAUAGGAUGCACCUGAGCUCAAUUUCGGGUCUCACAGCAAAGGGUAUGAAUACUUAUGUGAAUGAGGUAUUUCUGUUUUUUAUUGUUAAUAAAUUAGCAAAUAUUUCUAAAAGCCUGUUUCACUUUGUUAUUAUGGGGUAUGUUGUGUAGAUCGCUGAGGACAUGUUUUUAUUUAAUACAUUUUAGAAUAAGGCUGUAAUGUAACGUGGAUGUAAUGUGGAAAAAGUCAAGGGGUGUGAAUACUUUCAGAAGGCGCUGUAUACAGUGCCUUGUAAAAGUUUUCAUACCCCUUGGAUUUCUUCACAUUUUAUUGUGUUACAAAGCGGGAAUGAAAUUGAUUUAAUUGUCAUUUUUGGUCAACAAUCUACACAAAAUACUCUGUAAUGUGAGUGGAAGAAAAAAUCUUACAUUUUUUCAAAAUGAAUAAAAAUGUAAUAACUAAAAUAUAGUUGUUGCAUAAGUAUUCAGCUCCCGGAGUUAAUACAUGUUAGAAACACCUUAGGUACUGAUUACAGCUCUGAGUCUUUUGGGUAAGUCUCUAAGAGCUUUGCACACCUGGAUUGUGCAAUAUUUAUUAUUUUCAAAAUUCUUCAAGCUCUUAAAAGAUAUUGGGCAUUUUCAAAACUUGCCAUAGAUUUUCAAGCAGAUUUAAGCCAAGACUGUAACUUGGCCAUUCAGGAACAUUCACUGUCUUCUUGAUAAGCAAUUCCAGUGUAGAUUUGGCCUUGUGUUGUCCUGCUGAAAGGUGAAUUCCUCUCCCACUCUCCGGUGUAAAGCAAACUGAAGCACGUUUCCUCUGGGAUUUUGCGUGUGCUUAGCUCCAUCAUGUUUCUUUUAUACUGAAAAACUCCCCAGUAUUUGCUGACUUCAAGUACAGUAUACCCAUACUAUGGUGCAGCCACCACCAUGUUUGAAAAUAAGGAGGCAAUUACUUUGUUGUGUUGGAUUUGCCCCAAACACUAUGCUAUGCAUUUAGGCCAAAAAGUGUAUGCAUUUGCUGUGUUUUUUUGCAGUAUUACUUUAGUGCCUUGCUGUAUACAAGAUGCAUGUUUUAGAACUUUUUUAUAUUCUGUAUAUUUGUAUUCUUUCUUCCACUCUGUCAUUUAGGUCAUUAUUGUGAGUCACUACAAUGUUGUUGCUCCAUCCUCAGUUCUCCCAUCACAGCCAUUGAACUGUGUAGCUGUUUUAAAAUCACCAAUGGUAACACCAUGGUAACAUCCCUGAGCAGUUUCAUUCCUGUCCUGCAGCUCAGUUCGGAAGGAUGACUGUAUCUUUGAUGUGUCUGGAUGUUUUAAUACAUCAUCCACGGCAUAAUUAUUAACUUGACCAUGCUUCAAGAGAUAUUCUAUCUCUGAUUUGUUAUUGUUACCCAUCUACCAAUCACUGUCGUUCUUUAUGAGGCUUUCGAAAAGCUCCCUAGUCUUUGUAGUUGAAUAUGUGCUUGAAAUGUAAUACUUGACUGAGGGACCUUACAGGUGUUGUAUGUAUGGGGACAGAGGAAGGGUCAUUCAAAAAUCAUGUCAACCCCUAUGGUUCACACAGAGUGAUUCCAUGUAACUUAUUAUGUGAUUUGUUAAGACACAUUUUACUGAACUAAUUUAUGCAACGACUACAUUUUAGUUAUGCUUUUUUAAAUAAUUAUUUAUUUCUAUUCCACUUUGACAUUACAUUGUAUUUUGUGUAGAUUGCUGACAAAAAAUAACGUUUACAUAAAUUUUAUCCCACUUUAACACAGUAAAAUGUGAAGAAAUCCAA